AAUUUUGCGCAAUGGGCGAAAGCCUGACGCAGCAACGCCGCGUGAACGAUGAAGCCCUUCGGGGUGUAAAGUUCUGUCAGUGGGGACGAAACUUGACGGUACCCACAGAGGAAGCACCGGCUAACUCCGUGCCAGCAGCCGCGGUAAUACGGAGGGUGCAAGCGUUGUCCGGAAUCAUUGGGCGUAAAGCGUUCGUAGGCGGCAUACCAAGUCUGGUGUUAAAUCCCGGGGCUCAACUCCGGUUCUGCACUGGAUACUGGUAAGCUAGAAUGUGGUAGAGGUGAAGGGAAUUCCUGGUGUAGCGGUGAAAUGCGUAGAUAUCAGGAGGAACACCGGUGGCGUAAGCGCUUCACUGGACCAUAAUUGACGCUGAGGAACGAAAGCCGGGGGAGCAAAUGGG
RNAcentral lists this ribosomal RNA (400 nucleotides) under uncultured bacterium. Its description in RNAcentral is "bacterial SSU rRNA". It matches the Rfam family "Bacterial small subunit ribosomal RNA", at positions 360 to 776 of the family's 1533-position model. The record is from RNAcentral.